This 492-nucleotide ribosomal RNA is filed under the name uncultured bacterium. RNAcentral's name for it is "partial 16S ribosomal RNA". It matches the Rfam family "Bacterial small subunit ribosomal RNA", at positions 29 to 507 of the family's 1533-position model. The record is from RNAcentral.
AGUGAACGCUGGCGGUAGGCCUAACACAUGCAGGUCGAACGGCAGCACAGUAAGAGCUUGCUCUUACGGGUGGCGAGUGGCGGACGGGUGAGGAAUACAUCGGAAUCUACUUUUUCGUGGGGGAUAACGUAGGGAAACUUACGCUAAUACCGCAUACGACCUACGGGUGAAAGCAGGGGAUCUUCGGACCUUGCGCGAUUGAAUGAGCCGAUGUCGGACUAGCUAGUUGGCGGGGUAAAGGCCCACCAAGGCGACGAUCCGUAGCUGGUCUGAGAGGAUGAUCAGCCACACUGGAACUGAGACACGGUCCAGACUCCUACGGGAGGCAGCAGUGGGGAAUAUUGGACAAUGGGCGCAAGCCUGAUCCAGCCAUACCGCGUGGGUGAAGAAGGCCUUCGGGUUGUAAAGCCCUUUUGUUGGGAAAGAAAAGCAGCAGGUUAAUACCCCGCUGUUCUGACGGUACCCAAAGAAUAAGCACCGGCUAACUUCGUG